AUGUUUCCUGUAGCUCUGCUGCUCCUGAUGGCAGCUGGAAACUGUGUGAAGUGUGAACAGUUGACUCAGCCACAAUCUGUGACUGUGCAGCCAGAUCAACGUCUCUCCAUCACCUGUCAGGUCUCUUAUUCUGUGAGCACCUACGGCACACACUGGAUCAGACAACCUGCAGGAAAAGGACUGGAGUGGAUUGGUUAUGACACAACCUUUAAAGAUUCACUGAAGAACAAGUUCAGUGGCAUCGAAGAUUCUUCCAGCAACAGAGUGACUCUGAAUGGACAGAAUAUGCAGCCUGAAGACUCUGCUGUGUAUUACUGUGCCAGACUGCUCGGGGUCAGUCCCUCACCUCGUCAGAUCCACUGGUCAGCAGAGCAGGACAAUCAGUCACUCUGUCUUGUAAAGUUCAAGGACUCUCUCGGGCUUGGCUGCACUGGAUCCGUCAGAAACCAGGACAAGCACUGGAAUGGAUCGGACGCAUUGACGGUGGAACUGGAACGAUAUUCUCUCAAAGUCUCCAAGGACAGUUUUCCAUCACCAAAGACACUUCUCUAA
Acanthochromis polyacanthus (spiny chromis) is the source of this 552-nucleotide non-coding RNA. The record is from the annotation of a RefSeq genome assembly. Lineage: Eukaryota; Metazoa; Chordata; Actinopteri; Pomacentridae.